UAAGCAUAUCAAUAAGCGGAGGAAAAGAAACCAACAGGGAUUGCCCCAGUAACGGCGAGUGAAGCGGCAACAGCUCAGAUUUGAAAUCUGGCCCUUACGGGGUCCGAGUUGUAAUCUGUAGAGGAUGCUUUUGGCGACGCGCCUUCCGAGUCCCCUGGAACGGGGCGCCAGAGAGGGUGAGAGCCCCGUAUGGUUGGACGCCGAACCUCUGUAAAGCUCCUUCGACGAGUCGAGUAGUUUGGGAAUGCUGCUCAAAAUGGGAGGUAAAUUUCUUCUAAAGCUAAAUACCGGCCAGAGACCGAUAGCGCACAAGUAGAGUGAUCGAAAGAUGAAAAGCACUUUGAAAAGAGGGUCAAAUAGCACGUGAAAUUGCUGAAAGGGAAGUGCUUGUGACCAGACUUGCGCCCGGUUGAUCAUCCAGCGUUCUCGCUGGUGCACUCUGCCGGGCUCAGGCCAGCAUCGGCUCUCCCAGGGGGAUAAAGGUCGCGGGAACGUAGCUCUCUCCGGGGAGUGUUAUAGCCCGUGGCGGAAUGCCCUUAGGGGGGGCCGAGGCCCGCGUUCGCAAGGAUGCUGGCGUAAUGGUCACCAGCGACCCGUCUUGAAACACGGACCAAGGAGUCAAGCAUUAGGGCGAGUCUUUGGGUGCAAAACCCGCAGGCGCAAUGAAAGUGAACGGAGGUGAGAGCUUCGGCGCAUCAUCGACCGAUCCUGAUGUUCUCGGAUGGAUUUGAGUAAGAGCCUUACCGCUUGGACCCGAAAGAUGGUGAACUAUGCCUGAAUAGGGUGAAGCCAGAGGAAACUCUGGUGGAGGCUCGCAGCGGUUCUGACGUGCAAAUCGAUCGUCAAAUUUGGGCAUGGGGGCGAAAGACUAAUCGAACCAUCUAGUAGCUGGUUACCGCCGA
This 902-nucleotide ribosomal RNA is filed under the name Distoseptispora phangngaensis. RNAcentral describes it as "LSU rRNA". It matches the Rfam family "Eukaryotic large subunit ribosomal RNA", at positions 35 to 964 of the family's 3401-position model. The record is from RNAcentral. Lineage: Eukaryota; Fungi; Ascomycota; Sordariomycetes; Distoseptisporaceae.